UUUUAGGAGAACAUUUUUUUAAAGUACAAAGCUAAAUUAAAUAACAAAAAAGCCAAUUGUGGCUGGAAAAUAAUAUGGGUAAAAUUAAAGUAAUAACUACUACAAGUUACAUCACCAAAAAUUAUUAAAUUAAUAAUGAAAAUAGCAACAUUCAGCUUUUGAAAAUAAGCUAGCCACAUCAAUGUACUUUCGAGAUUGAUCCAGCCAUACCAUUGCACUUUCCUGUACUACCAAACAAUAACAAUGCACUUUUAAUUACUAGCUAGCAAUAGCAUUGCACUUUCCUGAAGCAAACCACAAAAAUCAUAUACAAAGCUAAAAAUUUCGAGCCAAAGAGAGGAGGAAUAAUAGCUCAAACAGAGGUGAAAUCAGAUACCAAAAUCCAAAUAGGUCUUUAAAAGACUUUGAUUUUUUUUGUAAUAAAAAAGAGAAGAAAUCAAGCAGAUUUUUGAAACAAACCUAAAUAAGUAGAUUUCGAACUCAAAGAGAGAAGAAAUCGAGUCUAGUAAAACAUGAACAACCACAAAAAACAAUCUGAUUUCCGAAACAAAUAACAAAAACCCUAAACAUAAAUCACAUCAGAAAUUAGAAUGAGAAGUCGGAAUAAGAGAAAUUCAACCCACCCAAAUUAGAAUCGUUGUAUCAGAAUCACAAUAUCUCGGACCUAGAAGGCUUGAACCGAGAUCUUUUAACCAGAUUAGAAAUAUCAGAAAUCACAAACUAGAACUUGAAAACUAUAGAAAUUGGAGUAUUUAGAAACCAAAUAUCAGAGAAAUUGACUGAAAGCGAAAAAUACAGAUGCCACAUCUUACUUUUAUUUAUCAGAGACGCAACUUCUAGGCAUCCAAUCGACAACAUAUUUCCAAGUGUCGGAAGACGUUUCGAUUUUCUAUGGGAAAUUGAAGACGAUUAGUGGUUGUUUGGCGCUAAGUUUUCAUUUCCC
Molecule: long non-coding RNA, 943 nt
Filed under: Lactuca sativa (garden lettuce)
Lineage: Eukaryota; Viridiplantae; Streptophyta; Magnoliopsida; Asterales; Asteraceae
Description: long non-coding RNA (LSAT_LNC000098)
Source: RNAcentral